This is a long non-coding RNA of Acanthochromis polyacanthus (spiny chromis), 4030 nucleotides long. RefSeq lists it as uncharacterized. The record is from RefSeq and is a predicted model, not a curated record. Lineage: Eukaryota; Metazoa; Chordata; Actinopteri; Pomacentridae. The transcript is spliced from 3 exons.
UAGUACUCAUAAGGUAGUACUCAUAAAGUAGUACUCAUAAAGUAGUACUCAUAAGGUAGUACUCAUAAGGUAGUACUCAUAAAGUAGUACUCAUAAGGUAGUACUCAUAAAGUAGUACUCAUAAGGUAGUACUCAUAAAGUAGUACUCAUAAAGUAGUACUCAUGAGGUAGUACUCAUAAAGUAGUACUCAUAAAGUAGUACUCAUAAGGUAGUACUCAUAAGGUAGCACUCAUAAGGUAGUACUCAUAAGGUAGUACUCAUAAAGUAGUACUCAUAAGGUAGUACUCAUAAAGUAGUACUCAUAAGGUAGUACUCAUAAAGUAGUACUCAUAAAGUAGUACUCAUGAGGUAGUACUCAUAAAGUAGUACUCAUAAAGUAGUACUCAUAAGGUAGUACUCAUAAGGUAGCACUCAUAAGGUAGUACUCAUAAGGUAGUACUCAUAAAGUAGUACUCAUAAAGUAGUACUCAUAAGGUCGCACUCAUAAGGUAGUACUCAUAAAGUAGUACUCAUAAGGUAGUACUCAUAAAGUAGUACUCAUAAAGUAGUACUCAUGAGGUAGUACUCAUAAAGUAGUACUCAUAAGGUAGUACUCAUAAAGUAGUACUCAUAAGGUAGUACUCAUAAAGUAGUACUCAUAAAGUAGUACUCAAAGUAGUACUCAUAAAGUAGUACUCAUAAGGUAGUACUCAUAAAGUAGUACUCAUAAGGUAGUACUCAUAAAGUAGUACUCAUAAGGUAGUACUCAUAAGGUAGUACUCAUAAAGUAGUACUCAUAAGGUAGUACUCAUACAGUAGUACUCAUAAAGUAGUACUCAUAAGGUAGUACUCAUAAGGUAGUACUCAUAAAGUAGUACUCAUAAGGUAGUACUCAUAAGGUAGUACUCAUACAGUAGUACUCAUAAGGUAGUAUUGAUGAAGUAGUACUCAUAAGGUAGUACUCAUAAAGUAGUGCUCAUAAAGUAGUGCUCAUAAAGUAGUACUCAUAAAGUAGUACUCAUACAGUAGUACUCAUACAGUAGUACUCAUAAGGUAGUACUCAUACAGUAGUACUCAUAAGGUAGUCCUCAUAAAGUAGUACUCAUACAGUAGUACUCAUACAGUAGUACUCAUAAGGUAGUACUCAUAAAGUCGUACUCAUAAGGUAGUACUCAUACAGUAGUACUCAUAAGGUAGUCCUCAUAAAGUAGUACUCAUAAAGUAGUCCUCAUAAAGUAGUACUCAUAAAGUAGUACUCAUAAGGUAGUCCUCAUAAAGUAGUACUCAUAAAGUCGUACUCAUAAGGUAGUACUCAUAAGGUAGUACUCAUAAAGUAGUACUCAUAAGGUAGUACUCAUAAGGUAGUACUCAUAAAGUAGUACUCAUAAAGUAGUACUCAUAAGGUAGUACUCAUAAGGUAGUACUCAUACAGUAGUACUCAUAAAGUAGUACUCAUAAGGUAGUACUCAUAAGGUAGUACUCAUAAAGUAGUACUCAUAAGGUAGUACUCAUAAGGUAGUACUCAUACAGUAGUACUCAUAAAGUAGUACUCAUAAGGUAGUACUCAUAAGGUAGUACUCAUAAAGUAGUACUCAUACAGUAGUACUCAUAAGAUAGUAUUGAUGAAGUAGUACUCAUAAGGUAGUACUCAUAAAGUAGUGCUCAUAAAGUAGUGCUCAUAAAGUAGUACUCAUAAAGUAGUACUCAUACAGUAGUACUCAUAAGGUAGUCCUCAUAAAGUAGUACUCAUAAAGUAGUACUCAUAAGGUAGUACUCAUAAAGUAGUACUCAUACAGUAGUACUCAUAAGGUAGUACUCAUACAGUAGUACUCAUAAAGUAGUACUCAUAAGGUAGUACUCAUAAGGUAGUACUCAUAAAGUAGUACUCAUAAGGUAGUAGUCAUAAAGUAGUACUCAUACAGUAGUACUCAUAAGGUAGUAUUGAUAAAGUAGUACUCAUAAGGUAGUACUCAUAAAGUCGUACUCAUAAGGUAGUACUCAUAAAGUAGUACUCAUAAAGUAGUACUCAUAAAGUCGUACUCAUAAGGUAGUACUCAUAAAGUAGUACUCAUACAGUAGUACUCAUAAGGUAGUACUCAUAAAGUAGUACUCAUAAGGUAGUAGUCAUAAAGUAGUAUUCAUACAGUAGUACUCAUAAGGUAGUAUUGAUGAAGUAGUACUCAUAAAGUCGUACUCAUAAGGUAGUACUCAUAAAGUAGUACUCAUAAAGUAGUACUCAUAAAGUCGUACUCAUAAGGUCGUACUCAUAAAGUAGUACUCAUACAGUAGUACUCAUAAGGUAGUACUCAUAAGGUAGUCCUCAUAAAGUAGUACUCAUAAAGUAGUACUCAUAAGGUAGUACUCAUAAAGUCGUACUCAUAAAGUAGUACUCAUAAAGUCGUACUCAUAAGGUAGUACUCAUACAGUAGUACUCAUAAAGUAGUACUCAUAAGGUAGUACUCAUAAGGUAGUACUCAUAAAGUAGUACUCAUAAGGUAGUACUCAUAAGGUAGUACUCAUAAAGUAGUACUCAUAAAGUAGUACUCAUAAGGUACUACUCAUAAGGUAGUACUCAUACAGUAGUACUCAUAAAGUAGUACUCAUAAGGUAGUACUCAUAAGGUAGUACUCAUAAAGUAGUACUCAUAAGGUAGUACUCAUAAGGUAGUACUCAUAAAGUAGUACUCAUAAGGUAGUACUCAUAAGGUAGUACUCAUAAAGUAGUACUCAUAAAGUAGUACUCAUAAGGUAGUACUCAUAAGGUAGUACUCAAAGUAGUACUCAUACAGUAGUACUCAUAAGGUAGUAUUGAUGAAGUAGUACUCAUAAGGUAGUACUCAUAAAGUAGUGCUCAUAAAGUAGUGCUCAUAAAGUAGUACUCAUAAAGUAGUACUCAUACAGUAGUACUCAUAAGGUAGUACUCAUACAGUAGUACUCAUAAAGUAGUACUCAUAAGGUAGUACUCAUAAGGUAGUACUCAUAAAGUAGUACUCAUAAGGUAGUCCUCAUAAAGUAGUACUCAUAAAGUCGUACUCAUAAGGUAGUACUCAUACAGUAGUACUCAUAAAGUAGUACUCAUAAGGUAGUACUCAUAAAGUAGUACUCAUACAGUAGUACUCAUAAGGUAGUACUCAUACAGUAGUACUCAUAAAGUAGUACUCAUAAGGUAGUACUCAUAAGGUAGUACUCAUAAAGUAGUACUCAUAAGGUAGUAGUCAUAAAGUAGUACUCAUACAGUAGUACUCAUAAGGUAGUAUUGAUGAAGUAGUACUCAUAAGGUAGUGCUCAUAAAGUAGUACUCAUACAGUAGUACUCAUAAGGUAGUACUCAUAAGGUAGUCCUCAUAAAGUAGUACUCAUAAAGUAGUACUCAUAAGGUAGUCCUCAUAAAGUAGUACUCAUAAAGUCGUACUCAUAAGGUAGUCCUCAUAAAGUAGUACUCAUAAAGUCGUACUCAUAAGGUAGUACUCAUAAAGUAGUACUCAUAAAGUAGUACUCAUAAGGUAGUACUCAUAAAGUAGUACUGAUAAGGUAGUACUCAUAAAGUAGUACUCAUGAGGUAGUACUCAAAGUAGUACUCAUAAAGUAGUACUCAUAAGGUAGUACUCAUAAGGUAGUAUUGAUGAAGUAGUACUCAUAAGGUAGUACUCAUAAAGUCGUGCUCAUAAAGUAGUACUCAUAAGGUUGUCCUCAUAAAGUCGUACUCAUAAGGUAGUACUCAUGAAAUAGUACUGAUGCUGCUACCUGAGCCUUCAUUAGGAUGUCCAGAUGUUUUUAUUGUGUUUAAUUCAGGCUGAUUUUAUUCCAGUUUAUUCCCACACUGACUAUAAAGGAGUAAAUAUUUACAGAAACACACAGAUGUAGUACUGAGAGCUGAACAGUAGGGGGCAGCAGCAUGACAGAUUACUGCUCUAUGUGUGUGUUGUAUGUGUAUGUUUGAAUAUUGUGUGUGUUACAGGGCUGUAGGUUGUGUAUAUUGUUUAUAUAUUGUGUAUUUAUUGGUACAGGGCUGUAGGUUGUGUAUAUUGUGUAUAUAUUGUGUAUUUAUUGUG